AGUGAACGCUGGCGGUAGGCCUAACACAUGCAAGUCGAACGGCAGCACAGUAAGAUCUUGCUCUUACGGGUGGCGAGUGGCGGACGGGUGAGGAAUACAUCGGAAUCUACUUUUUCGUGGGGGAUAACGUAGGGAAACUUACGCUAAUACCGCAUACGACCUACGGGUUAAAGCAGGGGAUCUUCGGACCUUGCGCGAUUGAAUGAGCCGAUGUCGGAUUAGCUAGUUGGCGGGGUAAAGGCCCACCAAGGCGACGAUCCGUAGCUGGUCUGAGAGGAUGAUCAGCCACACUGGAACUGAGACACGGUCCAGACUCCUACGGGAGGCAGCAGUGGGGAAUAUUGGACAAUGGGCGCAAGCCUGAUCCAGCCAUACCGCGUGGGUGAAGAAGGCCUUCGGGUUGUAAAGCCCUUUUGUUGGGAAAGAAAAGCAGCAGGUUAAUACCCCGCUGUUCUGACGGUACCCAAAGAAUAAGCACCGGCUAACUUCGUG
RNAcentral lists this ribosomal RNA (492 nucleotides) under uncultured bacterium. RNAcentral's name for it is "partial 16S ribosomal RNA". It matches the Rfam family "Bacterial small subunit ribosomal RNA", at positions 29 to 507 of the family's 1533-position model. The record is from RNAcentral.